This 433-nucleotide ribosomal RNA is filed under the name uncultured bacterium. Its description in RNAcentral is "partial 16S ribosomal RNA". It matches the Rfam family "Bacterial small subunit ribosomal RNA", at positions 29 to 507 of the family's 1533-position model. The record is from RNAcentral.
AACGAACGCUGGCGGCAUGCCUAACACAUCCAAGUCGAACGAGACCUUCGGGUCUAGCGGCGCACGGGUGAGUAACGCGUGGGAACCUGCCCUUAGGUUCGGAAUAACUCCCCGAAAGGGGUGCUAAUACCGAAUAAUGUCUUCGGAGCAAAGAUUUUUCGCCUUUGGAUGUGCCCGCUUUGGAUUAGCUAGUUGGUAGGGUAAAAGGCUACCAAGGCGACGAUCUAUAGCUGGUCUGAGAGGAUGAUCAGCCACACUGGGGCUGAGACACGGCCCAGACUCCUACGGGAGGCAGCAGUGGGGAAUAUUGGACAAUGGGCGAAAGCCUGAUCCAGCACUGCCGGGUGAGUGAUGAAGGCCUUAGGGUUGUAAAGCUCUUGUACCCGGGAUGAUAAUGACAGUACCGGGAGAAUAAGCUCCGGCUAACUCCGUG